UCCCUUUUGUUUCUCAGCUUCUGUCUCCUUUUUACUUCUCCUCUCCUCCUUACCCCUCCACUCCUAAUCUCCCCCCUUCUUUCCCUCUUUUUCUCCCUCUUCUUUCUCAUUCCCUUCUCCUCUCUGUUUGUCCCUCUGUCUCUCCAUCUUUCCCAGACAGGCUCUACAGGUCACUAGUUGAGGCUUCUUGGUUCCUCUGACAUCAGCCAAUCAGUCAUGUUUAGAGUGGGCAUUCCCUGGUGUAAGGUCCGCCCCCCACUGACCAUACAAGGUAACAGUGGAAUGCAUGGCUUGGCAGUCCGUCUGCUUCAUAAGAGAGACACAGAGAGCAGAGGGUGUCCCACACUGAUGAGCAGUCCUAUUACCGUCUGAUUUGAACUUCAGAAGGAUGCCAGUGGGCAAACCUGCUCCUCAACUCAUCACUAUUGCAAAAUCAGCCUUUUAGCAGACAGACAAGUCAAAGAACGAUUCAUUUCACCCAGGAAAACCAAGUAACCUGCCAGGGGAGAUGACAAGCCUUGAGAAAGCUCAUCAGUCUAGCAGCAAAGCAGUGAAGCAGCCUGCCAGCUGCUGCAGAUGUUCCCAGCAGCACCUCAGCUGCCCUGCAGCAGAGGACUCAAUAAGAACACUGCUGUGUGUAUUCACGCUCCGAGACAGAUGAGGUAGGACAAUCUCGAGGUGUGCAAGAAACGGACCAGGUGUUGCGGUUGAGAUAAUGGAGAUCAAAGAUGGAGCUCCAACAGAUUGCACUUGGGGUAAGAGAGAACAACUUCAAGACUCUACAGAGUGUUUCUCACUUUUUAUUCGGUUUCAGAAAAAUGUAACACAUUUUGAUAUGAAUCUAGAAAAGUUCCCAGACAGGCUUCUUAUCUUUCAGAACAACAUUGUUUCUGCUGAGAUUACAGGAAGCUAUUUCCACCAUUGCCUCCCUCCUUUGAAGUCCAGAGCUUUAGCUUUAGACGUUUACCAUAACUCUGGGCAAUAUAGUUACAGAUAAAACAAUAAGAAAAUACAGGGGCUCCACAUGAACUGACAAACCAACAUCAAAUGUGUUAGUAAGGUGUAGUUCCACCACAAGCCUCCAGAGCAGAUUCAGUGCUCCUUGUCAGAGACUUUCCGGGGUCUCUGGAACUCUACUGCAGGGAAGAAAAAGAAAUGCCGUCCUUUAUUGGUUUUAUGGUGGUGGAGAGUGCUGUCUCACAUAUUGUUUUCAUAAUCAAACCAUUCAUUGAGCCCUUGAGAAACUGAAUGGAAGCAACUGGAUUCGUUAGGUUUUGUCACAAAUGUGUUCAGGGUUUCCUUUAAAUGUCUCUUGUCUUCAUGUCUGCAAUGAAAUUAAAUAUUUGCUAAUAUUUGGUAUAUCUGUGGGCAUGACAUGAGUUAGUAUUUAAAUUAAUCAGUGAAACAAAUCCCUCCACGCGGCUCCGCCUCCAUCAGUGUGAAGAGUGUGUGAAUGAGGUCAAUUGUAAAGCGAUCUGUGUGUGUGUGUGUGUGUGUGUGUGUGUGUGUGUGUGUGUGUGUGUGUGUGUGUGUGUGUGUGUGUGUGUGUAUGUGUAUGUGUGCACAUGCAGGUAAUCAGAUGUCUGCUGUUGCAAUGUCUCUCUUUCAACCAAGUAUGUGUGUUGUAUUUCAGAUGUCAGAGAUGAGCAAGUACAGAGGUGAGUAACACACACACACACACACACACACACACACACACACACACACACACACAUGUGGAAUGUGAGAGGGAGCAGCAGCAUGACAGGAAAUUGGUAUUAUGUAGGUCUACUGGGGGUUAAAACCAUUUCCUGUUUACCCCUCCCCAACAAAAAUGUUUGUGCUGUGCACUCCAUCCCUCUCUCUCUCUCUCUCUGUCUCUCUCUCUCUCACACACACACACACACACUUAUUCACAUGCUAUUUUUGUCUCGCGCUGCUUUCACUGAUGUUUCAGACAUGUUAGAAAGACGUUAAACUGUGUCUUAGCUGUAAUAAAUAAAUAAAUAAAUAAAUAAAGAAACAGAAAUACAACAAACCUGAUUAACCUCUGCACUCAUACCAACAUUAUGCUGAUGGAGACACAUGCCAGUUCAUACAGUAAGCGAUUACUAAUUAUGUCAUGGGUUCACAAACCCAAGUCAUUCUCGCCAUCCUUUGAACAGCAUUGUGCAUGUUUUAUUCAGCUUUCAUGAAUUAUUUCCAUGUUUGCUCCUCUGUCUUUAGAAUAGACCCCUGUCCUUCAUGAUGCUGAGAGAAAUGUGUUUAUUCUGAUGUCAUCAUGUCUCAUCAUCAUAAGGCAAAUAUCACUAGCAUCACUCUGAUGCUAGCUUUAACUGGGAAUUCAGCUCAUUCUGAUUCCUAUCAGCUAGUGUUGGCUCAGCUGAGGUGUCUGUGGUUUCCUUUUGUAUAUUUCUUUGUCAACUGUAAAGACAGUUUGUAUGAUGUAACGUUAAAUCAGAAUAGAAAUCUAUGCAGAAGAUGCAAUAACAGGUUUGGUAAAAACUAAUUUCUCAAUACUGAGUUCAUUUAUUUAUUUUUUUUAUUUUUUACAACUCUUCACACAGUCAGCACAACAGAACUUGCAAAAUACAGCCUGUGACCACAUCUUUCAAUAUUCAUGAAGUUUUCUCACUCAAAGUCAAACACCUCCAUGCCUCUAUUUACUGUGCAUUUUGCACAUGUUUACAUACUGUUGUAAAUGUACAAUCCAUUCAAUAAAGAAUGGAAAAUGGAAUUGAAACACCGUUUGUGCCAAAUAGAUGAAUAAAUAAGAGAUACUUCAAAGACAAUAGCGAUUCAUAUUUUAAUGCUACCAGCUGUUAGUGUUGUUUCAGAUCAUCGUUCAGUGAGUAAUAAGACACUCUGUUACUGUUACGAGUCAAAUGUUGUCAGCGUUCUGGGACAAGAGUUGAUCCUGAGAUGUGUACAAAGUGUUUUGGUUAACAUUAGUGCAUUUUGGAUGUUAGAUUAACUGUAUGUUGGUAAAGAGAACUGUGUGAACUCAUUACAGAGAGAAACGUGUUAACGUUAGUAAAGAAAAACAACAACCUAUAAGAUGGUUUCUAAACUGACUGACUGUGCUCUGUUUGCCUCAUCCCUGUGUUUUUUUUCCAGUUGAGUUAUUCAUCCCUGUGGCCCAUGGUGCAGUGCUGCAUCUCUGGUCAGUUGGUAGUCUGAGAUGAAGCACUGUAGCUCGGGACAGAGGACAGAAAUACCAAUGGGAGCAUAGAUCCACAGCCAGGUAACAGCAUCCAGCAGCAGCAGGCCAGACAGGGAGGAUGAUAUGAACCAGGAUGCAACACUGCAAUCACAAACACCUUGUGGGUCACGGUCAGUAGUUUAGAUGAGACUGGACCGUCUCCCAAAGUUUGCUCAUUUUUGAAAUUCAUAGGGAAGUUGUUUCUGUUAGCAUCAAUUUAUUUAGAGGACAUAAAAAAACUAGUUGAAUUCAUCACAAAAUGAGGAUUAGCGACAAAUUUUAAAAAAUGUCACACCUUUGCUUGAUAUACACUGUAUAAUAAAAUAUUUUGUUAUUGUAUUUCUAACUAAUUUUAUAAAUUAAGAUCUAGUAUCAAAUGUAACAUUAAAAAUGUCAGAUUAAUGAAGUUGACCACAUUGUAAAUUACUUGACGUGUGUUCGCCAUGAUGUAUGUGUUUAGACAUGGCACCAUCGGCAGAAAAAUACAGACGUGACAUUUUCAAAUCGUCUAAUACGGGAGGUAUGGAAACCACAGCUCGACUUCUGCACGUGAGGAACGGGAUUAACCCGUUCCACUGGUGUGAUGAUGGAUGGAUGACAUCACUCGUUUUUUUUCUUCUCCUCUCUCCUGGGGUCCAGUUUUCCCAGGAAUCCCUUGACCUAUCAGAAAGGGGGAUUCCUGGAAAUACUGUUCUUGGGGGCGGGGCUUAUCAGCUAUUCCAUUUACAGUAUGUACCAUCAUUCUGUGUGGUGUGUGCAAUAAUGGUGUACGUUUUUAUAGAAUUAGUUUUGAUUGUAUUUAGUGUUUAGACACGAGAUAUUCAUUAUUGUUUCAAUCCUGUCCAAAGUCACAUCAUGUUCCUGUUUAUGAGAUUUGAAGAUUCUGAUUACUGCUCAUUCUGUUUAAUAAACAUUCAAAACAAAGAA
Sander lucioperca (pikeperch) is the source of this 4108-nucleotide long non-coding RNA. RefSeq lists it as uncharacterized. Lineage: Eukaryota; Metazoa; Chordata; Actinopteri; Perciformes; Percidae. The record is from RefSeq and is a predicted model, not a curated record. The transcript is spliced from 3 exons.